Bos taurus (domestic cattle) is the source of this 2176-nucleotide long non-coding RNA. NCBI's taxonomy places the organism in Eukaryota, Metazoa, Chordata, Mammalia, Artiodactyla, Bovidae. The record is from Ensembl.
AAAAGAACUUGGCAACCAGAUCCUGACAAGAUGGCUAUUUUGAGGCACUACCCUACUGUCUUCUCAGUCAGCUGGCUUUCCAACUAAAGUCCUUUCCUUGCCUCAACACCUUGUCUCUCAGAUUCAUUGGCCUGUCAUAUAGCAAGCACAGCGAGCUUGGACUCAGUAACACGUGGGGUUACAAAGAGUUGGACAUGCCCAGGUGACUCCGCAGCCUGUUGGAUCAUCCCAGAUCAGGGACUGAACCCAUGUCUCCUGCAUUGGCAGGUAGAGUCUUUACCACUGGGCCACCUGGGAAGCCCCCGUGUGUGCAUCAUUUUAACAAAAGCAGUUGAAAGAGCAGAUAUAGAACAAUCAGCUUGAGUUCCGUUCAGUUCAAUCGCUCAGUUGUAUCCAGCUCUUUGCCAACCCAUGGCAGAACGCCAGGCUUCCCUGUCCACGACCAAUUCCUAGAGCUUGCUUAAACUCAUGUCCAUUGAUUCAGUGAUGCCAUCCAAUCAUCUCAUCCUCUGUUGUCCCCUUCUCCUCCUGCCUUCAAUCUUUCUCAGCAUCAGGGUCUUUUCUAAUGAGUCAGCUCUUCCCAUCACAUGGCCAAAGUAUUGGAGUUUCAGCUUCAGCAUCAGUUCUUCCAAUGAAUAUUCAGGACUGAUUUCCUUUAGGAUUGACUGGUUUGAUCUUCUUGUUGUCCAAGGGACUCUCAAGAGUCUUACUCAACACCACAGUUCAAAAGCAUCAGUACUUCAGAGCUCAGCUUUAUAGUCCAACUCUCACAUCCAUACAUGACUACUGGAAAAACCAAAGCUUUGCCUAGACAGACCUUUGUUGGCAAAGUAAUGUCUCUUCUUUUUAAUAUGCUGUCUAGGUUGGUCAUCGGAGAAGGCGAUGGCACCCCACUCCAGUACUCUUGCCUAGAAAAUCCCAUGGAUGGAGGAGCCUGUUUUGCCGUCAAGCUCGCACAGGAUGAGUGAGAGCACCUUGCAGAACCAGAAUCAUGUAUCAGCUUACAAGAAAGGCUUGAGCCACACUGCCCUGUUGAAGUCCCAGCCCCGCUCUGCACUCCUGUGUGACUACCUGUUGCCUUGGCCUCUUCAUCUGCAACGUGGGGGUGACAGCAGGACUCUGGUCCCAGGGUUGCUGGUGAUUAAGAGGAGGUGGAUGCACAGUACUUGUAGCAGCCAUUGUCACUAUGUUGUAAGGUGCUGCACAGGACAAGGAGGAGGACAAGGAGCAGGCCUUGGACGCAGAGGCAGAGUGAGGGCUCUGCUGCGUCUACAUGGAGGGGAGGAGCCAGCCCAGUUCAGUUCUGCCCUGAACUCCAAGUCCAGGCUUUAAAAAAGGAGCCAUAAAAAUGCCAUCUCACUGACGAAGGUCUGGAGCCCUUGACCACCCUGGAAAAACAUCACCUCCGCCCUGCCAAUAUUUAUCUCUUCAGCUUGCUUCUGGCCAAAGUCCACACCAGGCGUGAUUCUACUGCUUGCAGAGCCUUACCACUGACGUCCCUGUACUGAGGGGCUCUGACUGGAGGAGAUAAGCCCAGAGGGGCAGCUGUGUGGAUGCUGUCUCUUGUCACAAAAGAGCCAGCUUGGAAAGGGCAGACAGGCUGGGCUGGCUCCAGAGGUUGGCAACUGACCUUUGUAAGGAAGAGUCAAGAGUCAGAUUCCGUGUCAGAAAGUUAAGAUUACAGAACUCUAAGAAGGAAUUGGAUUCUUUCUCCUCCUUACCCACCUCCCAGUGUAUCAUCUCACCUUGUUUGGCCUGAACUAUUCCAGUGAUUUAAAGCAUUCCUGGGGCUGUCAUAUGACCUCUUCUGAUCCUCACAACCACCCCACAUGGCAGGUGUUGGUGUCAAUGUCCUCAAAUGAGAAAACUGAAAGUCAGAGGACUCAUCUGACUUUGCAGAGGUCCCCAGGAUUCUAGAUGGCAUAGCUCAACUCCUAGACCAGAGCCCUUUCUGCUACAGAAACACGGACUCAUCACCUGCUCAGAGCAGAUGAGCAAAGAGCAAAUCGACACCCUCAGGACCCUGCUCAGGCAAGAUACACUGAGCACUCUACAAGCAGAAGGGAGAGCAGCAGGUCCCAGAGCUUGGGUGGGCUGGGGGAUGGCUAUCAUGUGGGUUUUUCUGUCUCAUUUACUCUACUAGUUUUCCCAAAAGGAUUCCACCAAUACAAAUACU